GACGAACGCUGGCGGCGUGCCUAAUACAUGCAAGUUGAGCGAUGAAGAUUGGUGCUUGCACCAAUUUGAAGAGCAGCGAACGGGUGAGUAACGCGUGGGGAAUCUGCCUUUGAGCGGGGGACAACAUUUUGAAACGAAUGCUAAUACCGCAUAACAACUUUAAACAUAAGUUUUAAGUUUGAAAGAUGCAAUUGCAUCACUCAAAGAUGAUCCCGCGUUGUAUUAGCUAGUUGGUGAGGUAAAGGCUCACCAAGGCGAUGAUACAUAGCCGACCUGAGAGGGUGAUCGGCCACAUUGGGACUGAGACACGGCCCAAACUCCUACGGGAGGCAGCAGUAGGGAAUCUUCGGCAAUGGACGAAAGUCUGACCGAGCAACGCCGCGUGAGUGAAGAAGGUUUUCGGAUCGUAAAACUCUGUUGGUAGAGAAGAACGUUGGUGAGAGUGGAAAGCUCAUCAAGUGACGGUAACUACCCAGAAAGGGACGGCUAACUACGUG
Molecule: ribosomal RNA, 497 nt
Filed under: uncultured bacterium
Lineage: Bacteria
Description: partial 16S ribosomal RNA
Rfam family: Bacterial small subunit ribosomal RNA
Source: RNAcentral